AACCUAAUUAAAGAAUUUGAGGAGAGAAAGAAAGAAAGAGUGAUCGUCAUGGAGAGCAGGAGGAAGAAUCAACAGAAGACGAGCUACAUUGUAAUUUCCAUCCAGCUCCUAGCGGCCCUCCUACUCUUGGAGCUUGUGUCGCUAGUGCCGGGGGCGUCAUGCGAGGAGUUGCCCUUGGAUUUUUGGGUGAGUGCACUACGGGGGGUCGGGGCAAAGGACGUUUCAACAGCCGAUGGAUGCACCAAGAAGAAUAAGGACACCGUGCUCUGCUCUGCCCAGGCUAACACGGUAACCAAUUUCAUCAACCCUACCAACUCUGAGGAACAAGGCUAUAGGACCAUCGGGGAGUCCAUCGCUAACAUCCCUGAUGAUAGCACCAAACGGUACAUCCUCAUCCUCAGCGGUGGCACCGUGUACCGAGAGAAGGUAUUGGUGAGCAAAAGCAAGCCAUUCGUCACCAUAAGAUCAGAUGACCCCAUCAACCUGCCAUCAUUGUGUGGAACGACACUGCCGCCACCCUGGGGAAGGAUAGCAAGCCCCUUGGAGUAGAUGGUAGUAGCACCAUGACCGUAGAGUCCGACUACUUCAUUGCCUAUGGUGUCGUCUUUAGGAAUGAUGCUGCAGCAGCAGCGAAGAAGAAGAAGGCAGAAGGCGAGGCGCCAG
This 663-nucleotide unclassified non-coding RNA is filed under the name Zea mays. RNAcentral's name for it is "misc RNA Zm00001eb239240". Lineage: Eukaryota; Viridiplantae; Streptophyta; Magnoliopsida; Poales; Poaceae. The record is from RNAcentral.